AAAGGCGUGCUGCUGGGACUGUGUCAAUAAAUAAAAGUCCGGAUACAUCUUCGCAUGGAGCUCAUGCAAGUCCUUUUAGCCAAAGGGAACUUAUUAGUCAAUUCACAAUAGGCAAUAAUAGUAAUGACUCAAGACCUACCUCAUCUGGAGGUCGAA
RNAcentral lists this non-coding RNA (156 nucleotides) under Pteridomonas danica. Lineage: Eukaryota; Dictyochophyceae; Pedinellales. The record is from RNAcentral.